CGGAGCAGCGCCUGGCCACACCCCCCGGGCCGGCUUUUUCUAGGGCUGCUGCGGGCCACUGGGCGCUGGCUGCUCCUGCUCGCCUCUUGGGGUGCGCUCAGCUCCAGCCCAGCUCCAGCCCAGCUCCAGCCCGGCUCCAGCCCUGCACCAGCCCAGCUCCAGCCCUGCACCAGUCCGGCUCCUGUUCUUCUCCAGCAGACGCCUCGGAGCUCCGCGCCUCGACCCCCAGAUCGCCCCUCGACUUUCGGUCCCUAGGUCGCUCGGUGUCCCGCACCCCACGACCUCGCGCGCUCCCAAGUCCCUGUGCCCGCUCUUCUAACCCCACAACCCCGUCGCAGUCCUCCGCCCUUUCUCGCUCUCCAUCUGUCAGUAGGUCUGUCUGUCUGCCUCCCCACCCUCCUUUUCCUUCCUCUCACCCGCUCUGCCGGCUUGUUCGCUAGCUCGACUUGGCAGAGCAACUUCGCAGGAAAAUCCCAGAAACCUUUGCAGAAAGCUUACAAUGAAAUUUAAGAAGUUCUACGAUUUCGGCGCCAUUUUCGAGUGGAGUGAGAGGUGACUUGCGAUCUUAAAAAAAAAAAAAAAAAAAACAGGGGGAAGGAAACUUUUGGCUGGCCUCCCCCCCCCCCCCCCGCCCAACUAUGACUCUGUAACAGUGAGUCUGUAACAGAUUCAAUUCGGGGAUAAUUUGGGGGGAAAAAGUUCUGUGUCGCUCUGGGUGGGGUGGGGGCGGAAAGAGUGGGGGGGUCAGAAAAUAGACUGAGAAGGGUGAACAGGGAGGGGCAGGAGAGAAAAGUGAGUGAGGGGCAAUGGCCUGCUGUCAGCCCCGCCAGGGUGGGGAGCGACUGCUUUUGACAGACUGUAAAUGGACUUCAGGCAACUCUCUCAUUUGUAAGCAGCGAAGACUGCCCUGGAAAGAAAUGUAAAAUUCAUUGUAUAUUUCUCUCGCUAACUAAAACUUUUCAAGGUUGUUUAGCUUUUCCAGUAUGAAACUCGACAUUGGAAAAGUUUGGCUCGAAGGUGCGGAGGACGUGUACAUCGUGCGUUUUGGGUGUGGGGGCGCACACAUCUGCGACAUUGAAAGACAAAACGUUCUCAACUGGGAAGAGAGGAAGAGGCGUAUUCUUUGGCUCUUAAAUCAUUUGGCCAAACACAUCGCAGUUCUGAAGGGGGUGGGGCCAUGGCAACUCUAAAGUAUUGAUUCUUUGUCUAUUGUAUCAGCGAAUGACCCUCUCCAGAAGUGACCAGACGCUUCUUUGUGUUCUUCUUUAGGCGACCACCGAUGGUUUUUUUCCUCCAUUCCGUGUCCAUGAGAAAAUGAUUUGUAAUAUAGCCAAGACAAGCUGGGAUUUAGAAACUCGUUCCAACUUAAGGAGUGGGGCUAUUAUUAUUAAUGACUUUAUUUAUCAUGACCUUAUGGCUUUAUUAUCAGUGCAUUUGUUAGCGCUGGAUCACAAUCUGUUGUGUUAGGAAUUUUGUACUUAGUUUAAUUACAUACUCUGUAUAUUUAAUUAAUUAGUUAAUUAAUUAGUAGGACCCAGCAUUCAUUGUAGUAGUUUUGAAAAUCUGACAUAAUUUUAAAUGAAAAUAAGGAAAUUUGGCGACAUUAAAUCUUUGUUUAUGUAUACAGAAUGUACUUUUACUUUCAAAGGCACUAUAGUUUUAUUGUUUUAAUUAUUAGGUUUGUGGUUAAGUAGUGAAGGAUUUUUUUGGUUUGUGCUUUCUUGAAUGUUUUGUUUAAGCAAAAGGAAAUGAAUGAAUGUAAUUUAUUGCUCCGGUGUCCAUUUUGAAAAUCAAGAGGGGGGGGGCCUGAACAGUGCCGGCCAUUUCAAGAAAUGAGUUUCUGUGGAGUUGCUUGAGAAGGAGCCAUUUUAACAUCAAGUACUUAAAGUUGUUGAUUUGUGAUUUGAUAAGUGACAUUGAUAAAUGUCAAUUAUUUAUAAAGUAGUUUGAGUAACCAGCAAUGUAUGAAGACAUCUAGGGGUUUCAAUCUAGAACAUUCUCAUGCUUUGUCCUUAUAACUAAUGGCAGACAAGGUGUUUACUGUUAGAAUGGAGGAAACUACUAGCCAUAAGUUAAAAGCAACUGGUCACCCAGAGGGUUUUUUUAAAUCAAAAGUUCCUUACAUUGAUUCCAAUAAAUGACCCCAAACUGGGGACAAUAAAUGACACUUAUACAAUGCAGCAGGAAGUUUCACCGAGACUUUGGAGCUGGCAAGAGUGAUCCAGAUGUUACCAAAUUGUCUCAAUUUAAUUAAUCUCACUUUUCAUCUACUUUCUGAGGUAAGAGUCUCCCUACCCCAUUAUCUGCCAUAGCCCUGCUUUCCACCAAUACACUUUCCCAAUGUUCAUGGUGAGGAGGUGUGAAAGCCACACCCUGCACCUCACCAGCAGAUCCUGGAAAUCUGACAAAGUCGUAAGAAGAACUGGCUUAUAAAAAGUCCAUCAUCUUCCAGUCAUAAGUCCUAAGAAGCAUACAUUGUACUUAAUUUUCACCAGGGGGCAGGGCAAGGAGAGGCUCCCUUCAACUCACGGAGACUUUCUUCAUUCGCAGGUACCCUGAGCGACCCCCACCUUUGC
RNAcentral lists this long non-coding RNA (2576 nucleotides) under Cricetulus griseus (Chinese hamster). RNAcentral's name for it is "lncRNA (ENSCGRG00015039832.1)". The record is from RNAcentral. Lineage: Eukaryota; Metazoa; Chordata; Mammalia; Rodentia; Cricetidae.